UCAUAAACAUAGAUGUUACUGUCUACCUAAAUGUGGAAGCUCAACUCUUCUUCAUACUCUAUUAUGUCUUUCUGUAACAGGGAUAUCAUGGAGACACAUCAAAGACAUUUCUUUGUGGGGAGGUCAGUGAUAGUGUGCAACGCCUAGUGAAGGUAGCGUGGGAUGUGACCCAGAUCUGCUUCAAAAUGUGAGAUGUGUCAGUCCAUGUUUGGUCGAAUUGGUAUCGAGCACACCAAAUAUUGAUCUAUCUCCCUACUUGCCUCCAAGAAAGAAGUUGCGGCUUCAACAAAACCAAGACUAUUCUCUUAUUGGCCAACUGCCAAUAUCGUCUGUUUACGACUCUUUUUUUUUUUUAGGUUACCUUGCUAACACCCAAUAGCCUGUAUACU
Rosa chinensis is the source of this 389-nucleotide long non-coding RNA. RefSeq lists it as uncharacterized. The record is from RefSeq and is a predicted model, not a curated record. Lineage: Eukaryota; Viridiplantae; Streptophyta; Magnoliopsida; Rosales; Rosaceae. The transcript has 3 exons.